This is an RNA transcript of Grammomys surdaster, 920 nucleotides long. It is a transcript of the gene named phosducin-like protein 3 pseudogene, with no coding region annotated. The transcript has a single exon. NCBI's taxonomy places the organism in Eukaryota, Metazoa, Chordata, Mammalia, Rodentia, Muridae. The record is from RefSeq and is a predicted model, not a curated record.
UCUGAGUGACUGGAGGCAAGAUGCAGGACCCCAACGCAGACACCGAGUGAAAUGACAUCCUACGUAAAAAGGGCAUCCUUCCCCCUAAGGAGAGUCUGAAGGAGCUGGAGGAGGAGGAAGAGGAAAAGGAGGAGCGGCUCCUCCAGCAGUCAGUGGUGAAAACAUAUGAGGACAUGACUCUGGAAGAGCUGGAGGAGAACGAGGAUGAGUUCAGUGAGGAGGACGAACGAGUUAUCGAGAUGUACCGGCAGCAAUGGUUGGCUGAGUGGAAAGCAACUCAGCUGAAGAACAAAUUUGGAGAAGUUUUAGAGAUCUCAGGAAAGGACUAUGUUCAAGAAGUGACAAAAGCUGGAGAGGGCUUGUGGGUGGUCUUACAUUUGUACAAACAAGGGAUCCCCCUCUGUUCCUUGAUAAACCAUCACUUGAGUGGACUCGCCAGGAAGUUUCCCGAUGUGAAAUUUAUCAAAGCCAUUUCAACGACCUGCAUACCCAAUUACCCUGACAGGAAUCUCCCCACAGUGUUCGUCUACCGGGAAGGGGAUAUCAAGGCACAGUUCAUUGGUCCUCUGGUGUUUGGUGGCAUGAACCUGACCAUAGAUGAGUUGGAAUGGAAACUGUCCGAGUCUGGAGCAAUCAAGACGGAGCUGGAGGAGAACCCCAAGAAACCCAUCCAAGACCUGCUACUGUCCUCAGUGUGGGGCCCUGUCCCCAUGAGGAGGGACAGUGAUUCUGAGGACAACUAAGAUAGCAGUGAUGUAAAGUUUGAACUUUUUUGAUAUGACACAUUGUCUGGAUUUUUAAUAAGGAGGGAAAAGCAAAAAAUUAUCAUCUUGGUUUUUAACCUUUUUAUAAUUAUUUAAAUUUUAUACAUUUCAGAUAUAAUCAUUGCUGAAAUUUUUUAAAACAUUUGUUGAAACUCU